UUUUUAUGACUAUCAUGCUGAUGCAAAUUAGUGAUGGCAUGCACUAUAUUAUAAAUUGUUAUAACAAGGAAACUAUAACACCGUGGGAAAUAUAAGUGAACAAGAUGAGGAGAGAGGCCCAUGUCAUGGAAGAAGAAUUAAUCCUAGAUCACGAACAUGCAUACUUGCUUUAGUGAUAGCAGAGACUUCAAUCAAAUUGCAAGGUCUCUCGCCGGUGGCAGUGCGUGCACCUCCCGCCUCCAUGGCCGGCUGCCACGAGGUCGUCUAGAUGCAUUCGCGGCCGAGCGAUGGAUCCUAGACCAAGCAAUGUGCCGAUGGACGAGAUUCCUGCAGCUUGUGGUCAACCAGUGUCUCUGCUCUACGACUACAAAAUGAAAUAGUUGUCUUUAUAAAAGUCUCUUUUGCUGUGUUGGUUGUAACUGGCUAUCUUGUGGAUGCCGGUGUGUGAGUGCAAGCUCAAGAACUGAGCUAUCAGUGUAAAUUUGACCUAUACCAACCAACAAAUAUAUACAAUAAUUUUGCAAAAACCUUGAUGUCAAAUACUAACCGGUGAACUUCAGAACUGAUGUGAUCUUGAGCAGAAUAGAGUUUUGUUGUGGAUAAAACCACUUCACUCUUUCAGGUUUUCACCCACCUUGAACAUAAUA
Molecule: long non-coding RNA, 647 nt
Filed under: Triticum aestivum (bread wheat)
Lineage: Eukaryota; Viridiplantae; Streptophyta; Magnoliopsida; Poales; Poaceae
Description: long non-coding RNA (TAES_LNC011203)
Source: RNAcentral